AGAGUUUGAUCAUGGCUCAGAAUCAACGCUGGCGGCGUGCCUAACACAUGCAAGUCGAGCGAGAAAAGGGGAGCAAUCCCCUGAGUACAGCGGCGCACGGGUGAGUAACACGUGGGUAAUCUGCCCUGGAGUGGGGAAUAACACCGGGAAACCGGUGCUAAUACCGCAUACGAUCGCGAUGUCUGCGGACGUUGCGAUGAAAGGAGCAAUUCGCUCCAGGAGGAGCCCGCGGCUGAUUAGCUAGUUGGUGAGGUAAUGGCUCACCAAGGCAACGAUCAGUAUCCGGUCUGAGAGGACGGUCGGACACACUGGAACUGAGACACGGUCCAGACUCCUACGGGAGGCAGCAGUGGGGAAUUUUUGGCAAUGGGGGAAACCCUGACCAAGCAACGCCGCGUGGGUGAUGAAGUCCCUUGGGACGUAAAACCCUUUCGACGGGGAAGAAACCGCAAGGUUGACGGUACCCGUAGAAGAAGCCCCGGCUAACUCCGUGCCAGCAGCCGCGGUAAUACGGGGGGGGCAAGCGUUGUUCGGAAUUACUGGGCGUAAAGGGUGCGUAGGCGGUUCGUUAAGUCGGAUGUGAAAACUCUGGGCUCAACCCAGAGCCUGCAUCCGAAACUGGCGGGCUAGAGUUCUGGAGGGGGUAGCGGAAUUCCUGGUGUAGCGGUGAAAUGCGUAGAUAUCAGGAGGAACACCGGUGGCGAAGGCGGCUACCUGGACAGAAACUGACGCUGAGGCACGAAAGCUAGGGGAGCAAACAGGAUUAGAUACCCUAGUAGUCC
Molecule: ribosomal RNA, 782 nt
Filed under: uncultured bacterium
Lineage: Bacteria
Description: bacterial SSU rRNA
Rfam family: Bacterial small subunit ribosomal RNA
Source: RNAcentral